RNAcentral lists this ribosomal RNA (553 nucleotides) under Staphylococcus aureus. RNAcentral describes it as "partial 23S ribosomal RNA". It matches the Rfam family "Bacterial large subunit ribosomal RNA", at positions 1537 to 2087 of the family's 2925-position model. Lineage: Bacteria; Bacillati; Bacillota; Bacilli; Caryophanales; Staphylococcaceae. The record is from RNAcentral.
CAAAUCCGGUACUCGUUAAGGCUGAGCUGUGAUGGGGAGAAGACAUUGUGUCUUCGAGUCGUUGAUUUCACACUGCCGAGAAAAGCCUCUAGAUAGAAAAUAGGUGCCCGUACCGCAAACCGACACAGGUAGUCAAGAUGAGAAUUCUAAGGUGAGCGAGCGAACUCUCGUUAAGGAACUCGGCAAAAUGACCCCGUAACUUCGGGAGAAGGGGUGCUCUUUAGGGUUAACGCCCAGAAGAGCCGCAGUGAAUAGGCCCAAGCGACUGUUUAUCAAAAACACAGGUCUCUGCUAAACCGUAAGGUGAUGUAUAGGGGCUGACGCCUGCCCGGUGCUGGAAGGUUAAGAGGAGUGGUUAGCUUCUGCGAAGCUACGAAUCGAAGCCCCAGUAAACGGCGGCCGUAACUAUAACGGUCCUAAGGUAGCGAAAUUCCUUGUCGGGUAAGUUCCGACCCGCACGAAAGGCGUAACGAUUUGGGCACUGUCUCAACGAGAGACUCGGUGAAAUCAUAGUACCUGUGAAGAUGCAGGUUACCCGCGACAGGACGGAAAG